GCUCACACCGGUUUAAACUCAGAUCAUGUAAAAUUUCAAAGGUCGAACAGACCUAUCUUACCAGCUACUGCACCGAUAAUUAAUUUUAAUCCAACAUCGAGGUCGCAAUCUUUUCUUUCGAUAAGAACUCUGAGAAAAAUUACGCUGUUAUCCCUAAGGUAAUUUAUUCUUCUAAUCUAAACUACAGGAUCAUAUACUUACAUAUUAAUAUAAAAAUACAGAAAAGUUAAUUAAAUUUUCCCAUCACCCCAACAAAAUAAACCCAAACUAACUCAAAUCAUACAACCUAAAACUUAAAUAAAAUCCUGCUUAUUAAACUCUAUAGGGUCUUCUCGUCUUCUACAAAAAUUUAAGCUUUUUCACUUAAAAAUAAAAUUUUAAUAAAUUUCUCUAGAGACAGCUACUUUUUCAUCAAACCUUUCAUUCAAGCUUUCAAUUAAAAAACUAGUGACUAUGCUACCUUUGCACGGUCAAAAUACCGCGGCCAUUUAAUUAACUCAGUGGGCAGGUCAAACUUGAAAUCAUA
This 526-nucleotide ribosomal RNA is filed under the name Trigonopterus bonthainensis. RNAcentral's name for it is "partial 16S ribosomal RNA". Lineage: Eukaryota; Metazoa; Arthropoda; Insecta; Coleoptera; Curculionidae. The record is from RNAcentral.